AUUGAACGCUGGCGGCAUGCCUUACACAUGCAAGUCGAACGGCAGCACGGGUGCUUGCACCUGGUGGCGAGUGGCGAACGGGUGAGUAAUACAUCGGAACAUGUCCUGUAGUGGGGGAUAGCCCGGCGAAAGCCGGAUUAAUACCGCAUACGAUCUACGGAUGAAAGCGGGGGACCUUCGGGCCUCGCGCUAUCGGGUUGGCCGAUGGCUGAUUAGCUAGUUGGUGGGGUAAAGGCCUACCAAGGCGACGAUCAGUAGCUGGUCUGAGAGGACGACCAGCCACACUGGGACUGAGAAACGGCCCAGACUCCUACGGGAGGCAGCAGUGGGGAAUUUUGGACAAUGGGCGAAAGCCUGAUCCAGCAAUGCCGCGUGUGUGAAGAAGGCCUUCGGGUUGUAAAGCACUUUUGUCCGGAAAGAAAUCCUUGGCCCUAAUACGGUCGGGGGAUGACGGUACCGGAAGAAUAAGCACCGGCUAACUACGUG
Molecule: ribosomal RNA, 486 nt
Filed under: uncultured bacterium
Lineage: Bacteria
Description: partial 16S ribosomal RNA
Rfam family: Bacterial small subunit ribosomal RNA
Source: RNAcentral